Small nucleolar RNA from Apodemus sylvaticus (European woodmouse), 138 nucleotides. RefSeq annotates it as small nucleolar RNA SNORA48. The transcript has a single exon. The record is from RefSeq and is a predicted model, not a curated record. Lineage: Eukaryota; Metazoa; Chordata; Mammalia; Rodentia; Muridae.
AACCCCUGGCACUGGGCAAAGAGACACCUUGAUGUUGGUAUUGUUCUAGCAGUCAGGGGCAGAGCAGAUGGCAGUCCUUUUUCCUCCUAGCUUGGAAUGUGGCAUGACUGCCAAAGCUCUUAUGCCUAGGACAUCCAA